UGGGGCGUAGCCAAGUCGGUAAGGCACCGGUCUUUGGAACCGGCAUGCGCUGGUUCGAGUCCAGCCGCCCCAGCCA
RNAcentral lists this transfer RNA (76 nucleotides) under Bacillota bacterium. Its description in RNAcentral is "tRNA-Gln". It matches the Rfam family "tRNA". Rfam says of the family: Transfer RNA (tRNA) molecules are approximately 80 nucleotides in length. Their secondary structure includes four short double-helical elements and three loops (D, anti-codon, and T loops). Further hydrogen bonds mediate the characteristic L-shaped molecular structure. tRNAs have two regions of fundamental functional importance: the anti-codon, which is responsible for specific mRNA codon recognition, and the 3' end, to which the tRNAs corresponding amino acid is attached (by aminoacyl-tRNA synthetases). tRNAs cope with the degeneracy of the genetic code in two manners: having more than one tRNA (with a specific anti-codon) for a particular amino acid; and 'wobble' base-pairing, i.e. permitting non-standard base-pairing at the 3rd anti-codon position. RNAcentral also lists the same sequence under 1 other name. Lineage: Bacteria; Bacillati; Bacillota. The record is from RNAcentral.